Molecule: ribosomal RNA, 424 nt
Filed under: Heteractis aurora
Lineage: Eukaryota; Metazoa; Cnidaria; Anthozoa; Actiniaria; Stichodactylidae
Description: partial 16S large subunit ribosomal RNA
Rfam family: Bacterial large subunit ribosomal RNA
Source: RNAcentral
UAAUUGUUGGCCGGUAUGAAUGGCGUCACGAAGGCCCCACUGUCUUAAGAGGACUCUCCAUGAAAUUGAAUUCGUAGUGAAGAUGCUACGUCCAUAUUGUAAGACGAAAAGACCCCAUUGAGCUUUACUAAAGACUUGCAUGGCUCAAAAUAAUUUGACUUAAAUAAAGAGUUUAGAUAAUGUGGGACCCGUUUCUGGUUAAUGAAACACCACUCUUUUAUUUUAAGAGAGCUAACAUUACAGGGAUAGUGUAAGUUGGAUAGUUUGGUUGGGGCGACCACCUUUUAAAAGGUAACGAAGGUGAGCUUAAGGUCCGUAGUUAAUAGCCGGUGGCCUGACUGCAAGGGGGACGUCUCGAGCAGACACGUCCUUAGGGAUGUGGACUAUAGUGACCCGUCACCUUAGUGUGGAAAAGUUGGCGAUC